Molecule: ribosomal RNA, 297 nt
Filed under: Triticum aestivum (bread wheat)
Lineage: Eukaryota; Viridiplantae; Streptophyta; Magnoliopsida; Poales; Poaceae
Description: partial small subunit ribosomal RNA
Rfam family: Eukaryotic large subunit ribosomal RNA
Source: RNAcentral
AUGGAACAAUGUAGGCAAGGGAAGUCGGCAAAACGGAUCCGUAACUUCGGGAAAAGGAUUGGCUCUGAGGACUGGGCUCGGGGGUCCCGGCCCCGAACCCAUCGGCUGUCGGCGGAUUGCUCGAGCUGCUCACGCGGCGAGAGCGGGUCGCCGCGUGCCGGCCGGGGGACGGACCGGGAAUCGCCCCUUCGGGGGCUUUCCCCGAGCAUGAAACAGUCGACUCAGAACUGGUACGGACAAGGGGAAUCCGACUGUUUAAUUAAAACAAAGCAUUGCGAUGGUCCUCGCGGAUGCUGA